GAUGAACGCUGGCGGCGUGCCUAAUACAUGCAAGUCGAGCGAACAGACGAGGAGCUUGCUCCUCUGACGUUAGCGGCGGACGGGUGAGUAACACGUGGAUAACCUACCUAUAAGACUGGGAUAACUUCGGGAAACCGGAGCUACUACCGGAUAAUAUAUUGAACCGCAUGGUUCAAUAGCGAAAGACGGUUUUGCUGUCACUUAUAGAUGGAUCCGCGCCGCAUUAGCUAGUUGGUAAGGUAACGGCUUACCAAGGCGACGAUGCGUAGCCGACCUGAGAGGGUGAUCGGCCACACUGGAACUGAGACACGGUCCAGACUCCUACGGGAGGCAGCAGUAGGGAAUCUUGCGCAAUGGGCGAAAGCCUGACGGAGCAACGCCGCGUGAGUGAUGAAGGUCUUCGGAUCGUAAAACUCUGUUAUUAGGGAAGAACAAAUGUGUAAGUAACUAUGCACGUCUUGACGGUACCUAAUCAGAAAGCCACGGCUAACUACGUG
This 497-nucleotide ribosomal RNA is filed under the name uncultured bacterium. Its description in RNAcentral is "partial 16S ribosomal RNA". It matches the Rfam family "Bacterial small subunit ribosomal RNA", at positions 28 to 507 of the family's 1533-position model. The record is from RNAcentral.